CGGCGGGCGGGGAAGCAGGAAGUAAGGUGUCCAGCGCGCGGGUUCUCCGCCGCCGCGCCCCCGCCGCCGCCCUGUCCCCGGGGCGCCGCGCUCCGGCAGGCGCGGGCGCCGGGUGCAUUGUUCGCAGCCUUCCCCUGGCCGGUGCUCGGCCCACUUUUUUUUUUCUUUUUUUUUUUUUACGCGCUCUGCGUUGUGUAUGCGUGAGCUUGCACCUUUUGUAAGCUGGCGAGUCUCUGGACGCAAGACGAGGGGACCACGAGCCGAGGACCUGUCAGUCCCCGAGUGCAGCAGAGUCUCAGAUCCGGGGAGGGGGUGGGGGAAUCGAGGCCCCCGUGGGGUGGGAGGGGUGAGAGAGCAGCUUGGUGGCCGCGAAGCUGCCGCCUUCCCACCCCGGACCGCUUGCAGGAUUGCUUCCUGCGUCUCUCGUCUCGGUUAUUGUAAAAGUGUGGACCGUUGUGCCGCCCCCUUUCUCCCCAAAUCUGGCGCGAGAUAAGCCACUGUCCCCAUCCACUCCACCCCGGGCUCCGGGUGUGGACGGCGGGAGAAAGACUAUAUGGGAGCUUAAAGCAUGAGGUCAUGGGUUGAAGAGGCUGCUGCCAAAAGCUGCGGAGGUGAACAUGGAGGUCAAAGGACAACUCGUCAGCAAUUGGUUCUCAUCUUCCACCAAGUGGGGUCCAGGGAUGGAACUCAGGUCAUCAGGCUUGGCCCAAUUCAUUGACAUGGUACCAGAUUUAAAUCAACAGCAAGAAGCCUCCUCUCCAAGCUCUACCCCGUCCACUCCAUUUUCCUGAAGCAGAAGCAAGCAGAUUCACAGGGGGAAGAUAUGGCCAACUGCUUUCCAGUGGAGGCCAUGAGAGACUCUUGAGACAUCCAUUUAAAUCUUUAUGUACAGAUCUCUUUUGCCUGCCCUGGCGGGGCCACCUUCUUACUCCCUCCCACCAUUACCCUUUUCACUCCCUUAACCUCAAACAGACUCUGUUGACAACGGUUACCUGAGAUACUGACAAAUGAAAAUGACUGAC
RNAcentral lists this long non-coding RNA (1022 nucleotides) under Cricetulus griseus (Chinese hamster). RNAcentral's name for it is "lncRNA (ENSCGRG00015036534.1)". The record is from RNAcentral. Lineage: Eukaryota; Metazoa; Chordata; Mammalia; Rodentia; Cricetidae.